UCGGUUCUGUCUCUCUAUCUCUCGUGUGGUCAGAUGAGAGGCACAGACGGCCGGCCGUCCGUCUUCCGCUUUAUAAGAGGGCGGCCGAAUUGCCCAAAUCAGGAGAUGGCCGAUGGCGAUCUGCUUCAUUUGGGCCUCCGUCGCCAAACCAGGCGAUGUCCUAAUGGUGGUCGCUCCAAUCGGAGAUGGUCCGAUUUUUUCUUUGUGCGUGCGUCUGCCUCAUUUUUGUUGUGUUUGGGUUUCCUUGCAGCAUAACCAGCGUGAUGAAAUGGAACGGCACGAAACAAGCCCACGGUCAAAUUUAUCUGCUUCCUUCUGUUCGCUACAAAUAGCAACGAGCUAGACUAUUUGCUGUUCCAUGUUUUGGCCAUUUCCAGAGAACAUUUACUGCAACUUACCUUUCUAAUCUGAUCCAGGCGUGACCGAUUAAAGGUAGCGGAGCCAGCGUGGGGCAAGCGUGGGCCUGCCCACGCCAGCGCAAGAAAGCUCCACAGUGAAAUGGAGCCUCAGUCUGCCUCAUGCUCGUGUUGACGCCGUGUUGCCCACACCAAAAAUGGAUCCGGUCCCAAUCUGUGCAUCUUACACGCUCUUUCGUUUCGCUGCCACAGCAGUUCUCUGCAGCUCCAACAUCAGGCUAUCAGCAAGUUUGCUUGGAUCUUCUCCCCUCUGCAGCCGCAGGACAGAGCUCCUGCAACAGCAGGUCUGCUGACUCUGCUCCUCCUUUCGACCUUCCCCCGUCCACCGCAGGCUUUUUUCUCAACUCAGCAAAGCUGCAAAAAUAUGGGGCAUAUCGUACUCUCAAAAACCUGCAAACUGUACAUAUACAUCCAACCUCUGGUCUAGCACAGGAUAUUCCUAGAUGGGUAAUUUACACGAAUUGGUGCUGACAACGAAAGAGAACAUGCGUCAGGUGACAGAGGUGAAACCUGAAUGGCUGGUUGAAAUAACUCCACACUACUACCAGUUAAAAAUGUUGAAGAUUGUCAGUCCCUCUCUCUCUCUCUCUCUCUCACCGACACACACACACACAAAACUACUUUGGAAGAUCAGAUUUUAUUCUAGGGGCGUGAAACCCUGAGGCUAGUACCUUCAUUAACCCCGAGGCUAAUACCUUCACUCUCAAGGCCUAUGGAUGUUUAGCCUUUAUUAGAGAGUGGUGCUCGUGAAAUUUGAACCAGAUUGCGUUUCUGAUAGAGAAAGCGCAAACCCGUUACAUCAAGCCUUUGGGCCUCUCUACCUUUCUGUCUCUUUUUGGCGUAUGUAUGUGCUAUUCUCUAUCAUAAUUCAUUUAUUGGUUUUAUAUUUCUGAUACCUUUUUUCUGUCAAGGAAUUCAGUUGACAGCUGGAACACGAAAAUUGCCACGUGGGAAGGUCUUGUAGCUUCAGACAGAUAGUUUGUCCUCGAUGUAAAUGUCCUUAUCCUAUUCUCUAAUUUUUGUUUUGGGCUGGCAACAGCCGUAUUCUUGCGUUGGUGAGUUCCUACAGAUGGGAGAUUCACGAAGCGGUUUCAAAUGCUAACUUGUUGGGAAGGCAAGGGCACGCAUCUCUCUGUAUAUUUGCUAAAAGCAUGAGCCUGAUGUACAAAUUAGAAACGUAACCCAGUAAGAUGAAGAAAAAGUAUGACUGUUGGUCAAUUAAUCAAUUCAUUUUUGUAGAAUUGGUGCCAUGGUGCUAUAUAUUUAACAGUUAACUUUUACUGCUUCUA
This is a long non-coding RNA of Nymphaea colorata (pocket water lily), 1705 nucleotides long. RefSeq lists it as uncharacterized. The record is from RefSeq and is a predicted model, not a curated record. The transcript has 5 exons. Lineage: Eukaryota; Viridiplantae; Streptophyta; Magnoliopsida; Nymphaeales; Nymphaeaceae.